RNAcentral lists this ribosomal RNA (250 nucleotides) under uncultured bacterium. Its description in RNAcentral is "partial 16S ribosomal RNA". It matches the Rfam family "Bacterial small subunit ribosomal RNA", at positions 524 to 774 of the family's 1533-position model. The record is from RNAcentral.
UACGUAGGGGGCAAGCGUUGUCCGGAAUUAUUGGGCGUAAAGCGCGCGCAGGCGGUGAUUUAAGUUUGGUGUUUAAGCCCGAGGCUCAACCUCGGUUCGCAUCGAAAACUGGGUCACUUGAGUGUAGGAGAGGAAAGUGGAAUUCCACGUGUAGCGGUGAAAUGCGUAGAGAUGUGGAGGAACACCAGUGGCGAAGGCGACUUUCUGGCCUAUAACUGACGCUGAGGCGCGAAAGCGUGGGGAGCAAACA